This 1107-nucleotide long non-coding RNA is filed under the name Mytilus galloprovincialis (Mediterranean mussel). Lineage: Eukaryota; Metazoa; Mollusca; Bivalvia; Mytilida; Mytilidae. The record is from RNAcentral.
UUGUCGCUAUCUUUUUUUGUUACGAAGGAGAUGCACACACAUGAUAAACAGUGAAUAGGGAGAUAACUCUUACAGAGAAAAUUGUUCGUCUUAGCAGGGUGAAAUUUAAAAGCGCAUAAACUAUACGAUACAAUAUGAGAAAUAUCUAAGCGACAUAUUGCGAAACAAACAUUUAUCGCAAGAACAAAAUUUGGCGGAAAAAAAAAAAUAAUAAUAAUAAUAAUAAUAAUAAUAAUAAUAAUAAUAAUAAAUAUAAAGCAAUUGUUUUGAAAACAAUUGUUAGGCAGUCUUUCCCCUCUGAUGAAUGGAUAAUUGGGUUUUUUUUUAUUGAUUGAUUUGGAAAAAAAGGGGGGGGGGUAUUUGUUUGUUUGUUUGUUUGUUUUUGUAAAGGGUCUAUAUUAUUAUGUUACCGGAGAAGUUUCAUGUUUAGUUUGGAAAGUUUUUCUUUUAUUUUAGAUACAGCGCGCGCGCAAUAUUGAGGAGACAUCACGUGACACGGGUUUAUAAUAACGAAAAACUUAGUCUUUUAAUUUCUUUUUAGGUCGGGACCUUGAACAGACAACAUGUCUAGAGAUGGAAUGUACACAAUGUAAUUUCUUUUGUCAUUGUAGGAAAUAGACAUUUUGAUCACAGUUCACCAGCAGUGCAUGUUUUGGAUUUAAUUGUUCCGGUGUAACUUUAAUACACAUUUAAUGAUUAUUUUUUGAUAAUGUCCAUUUUUCAGCACCUGUUUGUAACACAGAUUAGUAUUUCAAUCUCGGAGCGGACAUUUUAUUGUAGGUUUUUACUGAGAUUGACGGACCUAGCAAGCGAUUUUUACGGCAUUGCGAUUUCUUUUUUCUAGGAAAAGUCUUGAGAGAUAUCUGCAAAAGGUUUUUUUAUGAACCUUCAGUACAUGUAUGCCCUGCUGACUGCAAAUUUUCAGGUCGAUUGGACUUGUAGUUUCAGAGAAUAUGUGGAUUUUUUUUCAGAAGAGACGUAAGAACAAUAAUAAAAUAAAAAUUUUCUUGAAUAAUUGAGAGUUUGUUCCUUCAAUAAACUGUCAUAAAUAAACAGUCAUACAUAUUGAUUGAUUGAUUAGUUGGUUGAUUGAUUGGUUGGUUGAUU